GAGAAUCAUUCACAAUGGGCGAAAGCCUGAUGGUGCGACGCCGCGUGGAGGACGAAGGCCCUAGGGUCGUAAACUCCUGUCAUCAGGGAGUAAGGUGUUCACUAGUAACUGAGUGGGCAAUUGAUAGUACCUG
Molecule: ribosomal RNA, 133 nt
Filed under: uncultured bacterium
Lineage: Bacteria
Description: partial 16S ribosomal RNA
Rfam family: Bacterial small subunit ribosomal RNA
Source: RNAcentral